CUUUUAAGGGGGAGAGGCUGUAACACCAAAUGUGUUUAAGACCUAAAGAAGGCCAUCAUUAGGUCCAUGAUGAAAUUUGUCUUAAAAGGAGGUAUUAUGAGUUAAGUCAAAUUUGGGUCAAAUGUGGUCAAAAAAUCAAAUUAAAGAUUCAAAUUUGGAAAAAUUUGACCAAAUGAGGAAUCAAGAGUUGAAAGUGCUUAGAAUUCAAUGGCAUCAAGUUUGAGAGGAAAUUCAAGUGAUAAGGACCUCAAUGGCAUAGUCAAAGUUGUUGCCUAGAGUCAACUUGAACAGAAUCUGG
Molecule: long non-coding RNA, 298 nt
Filed under: Setaria viridis
Lineage: Eukaryota; Viridiplantae; Streptophyta; Magnoliopsida; Poales; Poaceae
Description: long non-coding RNA (SVIR_LNC003012)
Source: RNAcentral